AUGACGAGAGGCAGGCCAGCAGAAAGGCUCACAAUCUCACAACAUGCUCUUGUUCCAGUGCCCCAGACAACCCCUACCCUCUUCCCACUGAGCCCUGCACAGCCCGUGCCAAAUGACAACGUGGUCCUCGGCUGUUUGAUCCACGAUUUCUUCCCCUCGGGACCUAUGAACGUGACCUGGAGCAAAAGCGGAGACAAUGUGGCCCUCAUAAACUACCCACCUGCCCAGACCUCAGGGGGCCUGUACACCAUGAGCAGCCAGCUGACCCUGCCAGCCACGGAGUGCCCAGCGGGCACCUCCUUCAUAUGCUCUGCGCAGCACGACUCCACCCCCGCCAGAACAGUGGAAGUGCCUUGCGGAGAUAAAGACCCCGUACCUUGUGAACCUUGUGACACUCCGUACUGCCAGCCCCAGCUGACCCUGCACCGGCCAGCCCUCGAGGACCUGCUGCUCGGCUCAGAUGCUAGCCUCAGGUGUACACUCAGUGGCCUCAAAAACCCAGAGGGAGUCACCUUCAGCUGGCAGUCUUCCAUCGAGAAGACCCCCAUUCUGGAGGAGCCCAAGAGAACGUCCUGUGGCUGCUUCAGUGUGACCAGCGUGCUGCCCAGCUGUGCAGAGCCCUGGAACCGGGGCGAAACCUUCACGUGCACAGCCAACCACUCGGAGCUCAAGGCCCCCCAGACUGCCACCAUCGCCAAAGCCUCAGAGAACACCUUCCCGCCCCAAGUCCAUCUGCUGCCGCCGCCAGCAGAAGAGCUGUCCCUGAACGAGCUGGUGUCACUGACCUGCCUGGUGCGAGGCUUCAGCCCUAAGGAGGUGCUGGUGCGCUGGCAGCAUGGCAACCAGGAGCUGCCCAAGAACGCGUACCUGGUGUGGGGACCCCUUCGGGAGCCGGACCAGGGAGCCACCACCUUCGCCGUGACGAGCGUGCUGCGCGUGGCAGCCGCAGCCUGGAAGCAGGGCGACAACUUCUCCUGCACCGUGGGCCACGAGACCCUGCCCACGGGCUUCACCCAGAAGACCAUCGACCACCAGUCGGGUAAACCCACUCAGGUCAAUGUGUCUGUGAUCGUGUCAGAUGUGGAUGGCGUCUGCUACUAAGCCACCCUGCCUGGUCCAACCCUCAAAUAAACUCCAUUCUCGUCCA
Perognathus longimembris pacificus (Pacific pocket mouse) is the source of this 1147-nucleotide non-coding RNA. The record is from the annotation of a RefSeq genome assembly. NCBI's taxonomy places the organism in Eukaryota, Metazoa, Chordata, Mammalia, Rodentia, Heteromyidae.